UCUAUCUCAGGCCUGCCUAGAUACUAUGGGUGGGGUCACUACUGGUACUCUGCCCACAUCCCUUUCCAAGAGGAUGAGUUUGUAGCUGUGCUAAUGAUGUUGCCUGUGAACUUCUGAGGCCACCUAACAUUAGUUGCGAAGGCUCCAGAUCUAAUUUGCAGGGCCAGCUUUCCCAUUCCUGUGACAUGGUAGCUGCCUCCAGUACUAGGCUUCACAUCUGCAUGCAGUUAUGUCUAAAGAAGAAAAGACCAUCUUCCCCCUGUAUCUUUCGUUGGGAGCAAGACAAUCUUUCCCUGGAGCCACCUGCAGACAUCUCAGUUGCACUGGUCAGAAUGACAUCAUAUGGCUUUCUCUAAACCAGUUCCUAUGAAGUACUGAGGAGCAAAUCCAGAGCCCUGCAGACAAGAGGCAAGUACUCCAGCACUGUUACAACCCCAGCUUUUAAAAUUUUGAGGCAAGGUCUCACUGAAUUGCCCAGAUUGGCCUCAAACUUGUGAUCCUCCUGCCUAAG
Long non-coding RNA from Chinchilla lanigera (long-tailed chinchilla), 511 nucleotides. RefSeq lists it as uncharacterized. The record is from RefSeq and is a predicted model, not a curated record. NCBI's taxonomy places the organism in Eukaryota, Metazoa, Chordata, Mammalia, Rodentia, Chinchillidae. The transcript has 3 exons.